Cyanidioschyzon merolae strain 10D is the source of this 1519-nucleotide RNA transcript. RefSeq lists it as hypothetical. The transcript has a single exon. Lineage: Eukaryota; Rhodophyta; Bangiophyceae; Cyanidiales; Cyanidiaceae. The record is from RefSeq and is a predicted model, not a curated record.
GUUAGCGCAACGCUCGUAUGCGUUUCGAGCGUCUGCGGGCUUGGACUUGCUGUGUUUUGAAAGGGAUUCGGGUCAAGAGCACCGAACAGUGGAACAGGUAGCUGUGCCGCAGAGCAAGCGCCGCUGGAUAGCUAUUUUUCUUGAACGCGCUCUACUACGACCUGGGGCCUGACGAAGCGCCCCUCAAGCUGGAACUAGUUUCAGUAUCGUCGAGCAAGAGCAGCUCGAUAGCUGUUUCCCCUGAACAUUCUUCGUCGACGAUCCAGAAAUAAACCUUGUCAAGGGCGCGGUAACAAGUUUGUGUCUCCACGUUUCAAUUCGCUUGCACAUUUUUGGUACAACUAUUGCGCUCACAAGCAGCCAAGAGGCGCGCAAAACGCUUUCCAGAGUGCUCAUGUUGAUCAGCGGUGACGUAUCGGGUACGCAAGUCACGUUGAUGCGUCGACGCCCUGCCGCAGUGGUCGUGGGUGCGGGCAGUGUUCACGAAGCCGGGCCCACCACGUGCUUUGGUGGUCUUUCAGAGCCAGGUGAGCCGCUAUCACCACGGCAGUCUGGUCUGCAACAGUACAGCACUCGAACCAGUCAUUUCAGUGAUCUUUACGUCUGCUUCAUUGUGUUCAUAGCACUUGGUUUAGUGCCUGGUCUUCUUUUCCUUUACUGGGGGACUCGGUUUCCGCCUCGGACGUAGAUGCACCGUGUACUUACAUGUCGUAGCGCUGGCCUGGAAACGCAGGUCUCUCUGGCGAGCCGAUCCACUGAGGACGAACGAAAGACAUCAGCAUCAUUCGAGGCCCAGGAAUCUGGCACUCGAUGAGCAUAAGGGAGUUGCCGCUUCGAGAGAGUUCGAAGACCAGUAGCGUCAGUACUUGGGUUCGCGACGUGCGCAAACACUUUUCGACUUUUUCCCCAGCGUAUCCCUUUACUGACCUGUAUUUUCAUUGGAGCGCGUUAUUGUAUGACACCAGCGGCACGUAGUGCCUGCGCUUACUUGCCGAAUAUAGACGUCUUCUUUAAACACAAUUGCGCGCUCGGGGAACAUUGGUUAGAGGAAACGACCCUACACCCCAGAAAAAAGGUCCUUCAUGAUCCAGCGAGAGCCUAUUCCCUGGUAGUCGUGAGCACAUGGACUUGCAGUCGCAGACACUUGUUCGACAAUGGCGUCGCAUUCCAAGUUGCCUGCACCUUGGCGUUCUAGAUGAGGGUGGAUCCACGAAUGAAGCGAUUGGGUGCAACUCCGACGAUGGUGCGCAUCUACAAGUGCGAAACGCUCCGCAGUUCUCAGUCCUGCCAAACAUACAGCGACUUUGAUCAAGCGACUGUGAUCCACGAAAAUACAAUAAAAAAUGAACGCCGAAUUCACGUCAAGGCUCUUUCUACAUCAAAACUGGUGAUAGAGCGGUGCAAGUUGCGGCGAGCAGCCCGCAAUCAAUGUCGACUCCUGAUGCCAGCGCAUUCAAAGACAGGACAGGAAUCGGUAGUUUCGUGCCUCAAUAUAUAGAUACGUUGCAAUGCAAACUUU